Molecule: ribosomal RNA, 439 nt
Filed under: uncultured bacterium
Lineage: Bacteria
Description: partial 16S ribosomal RNA
Rfam family: Bacterial small subunit ribosomal RNA
Source: RNAcentral
UGGGGAAUAUUGCACAAUGGGCGCAAGCCUGAUGCAGCCAUGCCGCGUGUGUGAAGAAGGCCUUCGGGUUGUAAAGCACUUUCAGCGAGGAGGAAGGUGGUGAGCUUAAUACGCUCAUCAAUUGACGUUACUCGCAGAAGAAGCACCGGCUAACUCCGUGCCAGCAGCCGCGGUAAUACGGAGGGUGCAAGCGUUAAUCGGAAUUACUGGGCGUAAAGCGCNCGCAGCGGUUUGUUAAGUCAGAUGUGAAAUCCCCGGGCUCAACCUGGGAACUGCAUUUGAAACUGGCAAGCUAGAGUCUCGUAGAGGGGGGCUAGAAUUCCAGGUGUAGCGGUGAAAUGCGUAGAGAUCUGGAGGAAUACCGGUGGCGAAGGCGGCCCCCCUGGACGAAGACUGACGCUCAGGUGCGAAAGCGUGGGGCAGCAAACAGGAUUAGAUA